Molecule: long non-coding RNA, 1035 nt
Filed under: Corvus moneduloides (New Caledonian crow)
Lineage: Eukaryota; Metazoa; Chordata; Aves; Passeriformes; Corvidae
Description: lncRNA (ENSCMUG00000017789.1)
Source: RNAcentral
UCGCGACAGGUCUCUUUUGUCUUCCCGUUUGUACAGCUCUUGGACAUCCACAUCUCCCCUUUGGGAAGGCUCCUGGCACCUCACAUCUCUCCCGUGGGACAGCUCUUGGUCUUCCUCCACUUCCCAUUGGGACACAUCUUGGUAUUUCUCAUCUUCCCACUGCUCCAGCUCUUGGACAUUCUCAUUUCCCCACUGCGAAGGCUCCUGAUAUUUCUCAUCUUCCCACUGCUCCAGCUCUUGGACAUUCUCAUUUCCCCACUGCGAAGGCUCCUGAUAUUUCUCAUCUUCCCACUGCUCCAGCUCUUGGACAUUCUCAUUUCCCCACUGCGAAGGCUCCUGAUAUUUCUCAUCUUCCCACUGCUCCAGCUCUUGGACAUUCUCAUUUCCCCACUGCGAAGGCUCCUGAUAUUUCUCGUCUUCCCACUGCUCCAGCUCUUGGACACUCUCAUUUCCCCACUGGGGCAGUUCCUGGCCCAUGUAGGGCUCCCACUCUCUCUCCUCCCUGGCCAAGUCCCACCCCACAGUCUGUGGCCCUGGCAGCUCUGUCCCCCCCACUGCCCCCUCCCACUGCUCCCCGAGGGCUUCCAGCCACCCAGGGCAGAGGCUGCGGGGGCAGCAGGGGCAGUGCAGGGCACGGCCCUGGCUCUGUGCCUCGGCUGGGGGGGAAGGAGGCGACUGCCUUGGCACAGCCACCAGCCCAGCCCUGGCCCCAAGGGAGCUGCCUCUGGCCCCAUCCCAGCUCCGUCUUUCCCCUCUCCCUCCGGGGCUGGCCAUCACCUGCGGCCUCAUCCACAGGCCUGGCUACUCCAUGGCAGGGGGGGAGUUGGGGUUCACCUCCUCUCUGAGCAUCUCCAUCACGCACUGCCACAGAGGCUCUCAGGGGAGCUGCUUCCUCGUGGCAGAGCGGCUCUCCUGGGACUGGGCACCCCAGGGCUGGGCUCUGUGCCCCUUAGAUACCCCUCUGGCAGGGCAGGGCUGUGUCAUGUCACAAUGGCCUCUGGGCACCACCAUGUCCCGCAUCACCAAGGGCCCUGA